RNAcentral lists this long non-coding RNA (878 nucleotides) under Heterocephalus glaber (naked mole-rat). Its description in RNAcentral is "lncRNA (ENSHGLG00000041862.1)". The record is from RNAcentral. Lineage: Eukaryota; Metazoa; Chordata; Mammalia; Rodentia; Bathyergidae.
CUCUUACCAGAAUGGAGGAGAGGAAGGAAGGCGUUCUAGACCAGGACAAGAGGCCUUUGGGUUGCAAUCUGAAGGUGGACCAGGCAGUGGAUUGUGAAGGCGAUUGGGCUGACCCACGUGCGGAGCCCUCAGUGCAAAGUCCUCUCUGCUCCCCAAGCCUGCAAUCCCAGCCGCAGCCCCGGGGCCUGGAAACUCCGGCCGAUUUAUUAAAGCGUCCUCCCUGUCUGCCACCAUCAGGCUAGAAUUGUUCCGAACAAAAGAAGCAUGAAUUGCUGGAAACUAUAUAUUAAAUGCAAGACUAUUUGUCUAGUUUUCAUUGGGUGCUGAGUGAAGAGCCUCAACUCCUCGUAUUCCCAUGGUACUCAGAUGUCCGCGGAGUCCGCUGCUCCUCACACUGUCAUUUCUCUCACUGGGCACAAUCCGGCUUUAAAGAAUCCGACACUUACUGGUCUUUAUGGAACUGUCAGCAGUGACAGCAACCAGGGACACUGCCAUGUCUUGCUGUUUACAAAGGAUGAGCACAACAAGGCAUCUCGAUGACUUGAUAAGCCCUGAGCUCCUCUCUCCCCAACUCUGGCCUCUCUGGACCAGCGGCCUUUGCAUGGCCAGCUAAAGACACAAGAAUUAAAACUUGAUCCAAACACUAACAAGUCUGCAACCACGGCCAUGAAGAUAAAGUAGGGCUGCUCAAGGUUGCUUGGUAAACAGCGAAAACAGAGAAACAGGAGGAUCCUUAUAUGCACAGGUUCUCCGGACUGAACAACUAUGCCAACUUCCCGAGUGGCCAUAGGAGAAGGACUGAUUAAAAGCCCUGCCUUUGAGAUUCUCCGCAUACCCAGCUUAGAUUCUGCAGGCCUUCCCAGCUCCCACUGUGUGAA